CGGGGAGUAGCGCAGCUGGCUAGCGCACUUGCUUUGGGAGCAAGGGGUCCAGGGUUCGAAUCCCUGCUCCCCGACCA
Molecule: transfer RNA, 77 nt
Filed under: Candidatus Omnitrophota bacterium
Lineage: Bacteria; Pseudomonadati; Candidatus Omnitrophota
Description: Candidatus Omnitrophica bacterium (sediment metagenome) tRNA-Pro
Rfam family: tRNA
About the family: Transfer RNA (tRNA) molecules are approximately 80 nucleotides in length. Their secondary structure includes four short double-helical elements and three loops (D, anti-codon, and T loops).
Source: RNAcentral